This 75-nucleotide transfer RNA is filed under the name Weissella confusa. Its description in RNAcentral is "tRNA-Glu". It matches the Rfam family "tRNA". Rfam says of the family: Transfer RNA (tRNA) molecules are approximately 80 nucleotides in length. Their secondary structure includes four short double-helical elements and three loops (D, anti-codon, and T loops). The record is from RNAcentral. Lineage: Bacteria; Bacillati; Bacillota; Bacilli; Lactobacillales; Lactobacillaceae. RNAcentral also lists the same sequence under 1 other name.
GGCCCGUUGGUCAAGCGGUUAAGACACCGCCCUUUCACGGCGGUAACACGGGUUCGAAUCUCGUACGGGUCACCA